CUAGAUGGUGGGGUAACGGCCUACCAUGGCGAUGAUCAGUAGCCGGCCUGAGAGGGCUGACGGCCACACUGGGACUGAGACACGGCCCAGACUCCUGCGGGAGGCAGCAGCAAGGAAUUUUCCGCAAUGGCCUUAGGGGCUGACGGAGCAACGCCGCGUGGAUGAUGAAGUCUUUCGAGAUGUAAAAUCCUUUUAUGUGUGAAGACAGCCGACGGUAACACAUGAAUAAGCAUCGGCUAACUACGUGCCAGCAGCCGCGGUAAUACGUAGGAUGCAAGCGUUGUCCGGAAUUAUUGGGCGUAAAGGGCGCGCAGGCGGUUUGGUCAGUCAGUUGUGAAAUCUCCCGGCUUAACUGGGAGGGGUCAAUUGAUACUGCCAGACUUGAGGGCAGAAGAGGAAAGUGGAAUUCCCGGUGUAGUGGUGAAAUGCGUAGAUAUCGGGAGGAACACCAAUGGCGAAAGCAGCUUUCUGGUCUGCUCCUGACGCUCAGGCGCGAAGGCUAGGGGAGCAAACAGGAUUAGAUACCCUGGUAGUCCUAGCAGUAAACGAUGUACACUAGGUGUUGGUGGUAUUGACCCCAUCAGUGCCCAAGCAAACGCGUUAAGUGUACCGCCUGGGGAGUACGGUCGCAAGACUAAAACUCAAAGGAAUUGACG
RNAcentral lists this ribosomal RNA (656 nucleotides) under uncultured bacterium. RNAcentral describes it as "SSU rRNA". It matches the Rfam family "Bacterial small subunit ribosomal RNA", at positions 245 to 915 of the family's 1533-position model. The record is from RNAcentral.